CUACGAAAGGUGCAAGCGUUGUUCGGAUUUACUGGGCGUAAAGAGAGUGUAGGUUGUUUAUUAAGUCGGAUGUUAAAUCCCGGGGCUCAACCUCGGAACUGCAUUCGAUACUGGUAGACUAGAGUUCGGGAGGGGUAAGCGGAAUUCCGCGUGUAGCAGUGAAAUGCGUAGAUAUGCGGAGGAACACCUGAGGCGAAGGCGGCUUACUGGACCGAUACUGACACUGAGACUCGAAAGCGUGGGUAGCAAACAGGAUUAGAAACCCUAGUAGUCC
RNAcentral lists this ribosomal RNA (274 nucleotides) under uncultured bacterium. Its description in RNAcentral is "partial 16S ribosomal RNA". It matches the Rfam family "Bacterial small subunit ribosomal RNA", at positions 523 to 796 of the family's 1533-position model. The record is from RNAcentral.